Molecule: ribosomal RNA, 484 nt
Filed under: uncultured bacterium
Lineage: Bacteria
Description: partial 16S ribosomal RNA
Rfam family: Bacterial small subunit ribosomal RNA
Source: RNAcentral
AUUGAACGCUGGCGGCAGGCCUAACACAUGCAAGUCGAGCGGAUGAAGGGAGCUUGCUCCUGGAUUCAGCGGCGGACGGGUGAGUAAUGCCUAGGAAUCUGCCUGGUAGUGGGGGAUAACGUCCGGAAACGGGCGCUAAUACCGCAUACGUCCUGAGGGAGCAAGUGGGGGGUCUUCGGACCUCACGCUAUCAGAUGAGCCUAGGUCGGAUUAGCUAGUUGGUGGGGUAAAGGCCUACCAAGGCGACGAUCCGUAACUGGUCUGAGAGGAUGAUCAGUCACACGGGAACUGGGACACGGUCCAGACUCCUACGGGAGGCAGCAGUGGGGAAUAUUGGACAAUGGGCGAAAGCCUGAUCCAGCCAUGCCGCGUGUGUGAAGAAGGUCUUCGGAUUGUAAAGCACUUUAAGUUGGGAGGAAGGGCAGUAAGUUAAUACCUUGCUGUUUUGACGUUACCAACAGAAUAAGCACCGGCUAACUUCGUG